AGUGGCGAACGGGUGAGUAACACGUGGGUGAUCUGCCCUGCACUUCGGGAUAAGCCUGGGAAACUGGGUCUAAUACCGGAUAUGACCUCGGGAUGCAUGUCCCGGGGUGGAAAGCUUUUGCGGUGUGGGAUGGGCCCGCGGCCUAUCAGCUUGUUGGUGGGGUUAAGGCCUACCAAGGCGACGACGGGUAGCCGGCCUGAGAGGGUGUCCGGCCACACUGGGACUGAGAUACGGCCCAGACUCCUACGGGAGGCAGCAGUGGGGAAUAUUGCACAAUGGGCGCAAGCCUGAUGCAGCGACGCCGCGUGGGGGAUGACGGCCUUCGGGUUGUAAACCUCUUUCAGUAGGGACGAAGCGCAAGUGACGGUACCUACAGAAGAAGGACCGGCCAACUACGUGCCAGCAGCCGCGGUAAUACGUAGGGUCCGAGCGUUGUCCGGAAUUACUGGGCGUAAAGAGCUCGUAGGUGGUUUGUCGCGUUGUUCGUGAAAUCUCACAACUCAAUUGUGAGCGUGCGAGCGAUACGGGCAGACUGGAGUACUGCAGGGGAGACUGGAAUUCCUGGUGUAGCGGUGGAAUGCGCAGAUAUCAGGAGGAACACCGGUGGCGAAGGCGGGUCUCUGGGCAGUAACUGACGCUGAGGAGCGAAAGCGUGGGGAGCGAACAGGAUUAGAUACCCUGGUAGUCCACGCCGUAAACGGUGGGUACUAGG
This 712-nucleotide ribosomal RNA is filed under the name uncultured bacterium. RNAcentral's name for it is "bacterial SSU rRNA". It matches the Rfam family "Bacterial small subunit ribosomal RNA", at positions 94 to 820 of the family's 1533-position model. The record is from RNAcentral.